Small nucleolar RNA from Callithrix jacchus (white-tufted-ear marmoset), 107 nucleotides. Lineage: Eukaryota; Metazoa; Chordata; Mammalia; Primates; Cebidae. The record is from Ensembl.
AUCUGUUUGUGAUCCAUAAGUGUUAUGCUUGGGUUUUUAUACUAAUGUGUGAGAUGUGACUCCUUCAAACUUCCUUGUUAUGACAUAAGCACAUUACUCAACUGAUG